AGUGAACGCUGGCGGUAGGCCUAACACAUGCAAGUCGAACGGCAGCACAGUAAGAGCUUGCUCUUAAGGGUGGCGAGUGGCGGACGGGUGAGGAAUACAUCGGAAUCUACUUUUUCGUGGGGGAUAACGUAGGGAAACUUACGCUAAUACCGCAUACGACCUACGGGUGAAAGCAGGGGAUCUUCGGACCUUGCGCGAUUGAAUGAGCCGAUGUCGGAUUAGCUAGUUGGCGGGGUAAAGGCCCACCAAGGCGACGAUCCGUAGCUGGUCUGAGAGGAUGAUCAGCCACACUGGAACUGAGACACGGUCCAGACUCCUACGGGAGGCAGCAGUGGGGAAUAUUGGACAAUGGGCGCAAGCCUGAUCCAGCCAUACCGCGUGGGUGAAGAAGGCCUUCGGGUUGUAAAGCCCUUUUGUUGGGAAAGAAAAGCAGCAGGUUAAUACCCCGCUGUUCUGACGGUACCCAAAGAAUAAGCACCGGCUAACUUCGUG
This 492-nucleotide ribosomal RNA is filed under the name uncultured bacterium. RNAcentral describes it as "partial 16S ribosomal RNA". It matches the Rfam family "Bacterial small subunit ribosomal RNA", at positions 29 to 507 of the family's 1533-position model. The record is from RNAcentral.